UAAAGGUCAGGAAGUAGUAAUAGAAAAAUUUUUUCAGAGAGAAGCUGGUUGCUGCGAAGCUUUAAAAUUAAUCUAUGAACUUGUCCUGAGUUAAAAACCUAUCGUUUUGCCAUCCGCGUUAAGGAGCAAUUAAGUGUCACAAUAUGUGGAACUUAGGUGGUACCGCGAUAAUUCGUCCUAUGA
This 183-nucleotide non-coding RNA is filed under the name Lactobacillus amylolyticus. Its description in RNAcentral is "T-box sequence". It matches the Rfam family "T-box leader". Rfam says of the family: Uncharged tRNA acts as the effector for transcription antitermination of genes in the T-box leader family. T-boxes are found upstream of many aminoacyl-tRNA synthetase genes and some amino acid biosynthetic genes usually in Gram-positive bacteria. The record is from RNAcentral. Lineage: Bacteria; Bacillati; Bacillota; Bacilli; Lactobacillales; Lactobacillaceae.